GAAUAUCAAUCUGCCCCCUGUCCACUCCUGGUCAGAACUCUCGGCAGCCGCUCUGCGCUGCUGAUCCAUGGGGCAAUCGGCCGCUACGACAAGGUUCAGUCCUGCUCAGCUCCAGCUCCGGUUUUCUCCUUCGCCCAAACUUCGAGUUGGAGGAAAGUAAAAAAAAAGUCUCCGCAGACCUCGGCGAGCCAAUCGCAGGGGAUUUAGCACGUGCAUUGGAGAAUGGAGAGGAAGGCAAUUACAGCCCAAUACAAAUGUCAUUAGUAGCUCGAUCAGAUCAAGAGCGAUCACUGUACAAGUGGGAGAACCGCAGCCUGCGGCAAGCACCGAAGCCAGGCUCGAACCAUGACAACUCAGUACAAGGAGGAGAUCUGCGAGAGACCCGAGUGCAAAAGUAAAUCGCCAACUUUGCUUUCUUCUUACUGCAUCGACAGUAUACUGGGCAGGAGAAGUCCCUGCAAGAUUAGGUGUAUCGGAGCACAAGCAUUGCCGCUUGUCACAGCCAGAAAUGACCCGGACCCAGCGAGUGGAGGCUCGCCCAAGGAAAACAUGUCGUUUGAAGCCGAGCUCCAUCUCCCUCCGAAAUUCCGAAGACUAUACGGCCACGGAGGAAAAAUCCUGGACUCCCGAGGAUUUAACGAGAUCGGUAACGAGAAACUGGAGAGAGAGCGGUCCUCGGAACCAUUCCGAAACACAGACCUGAAGAUUAGCCAGGCUCCACAAGUCAGCAUCAGUCGCAGCAAGUCCUACAAGGUGAACUUCAGUUUGGCCAAAGCUCAAGGGGACAACGCGCCCAACCUGCCCGACUCCCCGGGGUUGGAGUCGGCGGAAGGGGCCGAGGGCGCCGCGAAAGAGGACGCGGUGGAAGGUGACCUGUCCCCGAAGCUAGUGGAGGAAGCUCAGACAGACGUGGACGUGAAGGACUGCGAGGACAGUUUGUGUUUGUCGGCCGGCAGUGACUCUGAGGAAGGAAUGCUAAAGAGAAAGCAGCGGCGGUAUAGGACUACAUUCACCAGCUACCAGCUGGAAGAACUAGAGAGGGCUUUUCAGAAAACUCACUACCCUGAUGUCUUCACCAGGGAGGAACUGGCAAUGCGGCUCGAUUUGACUGAAGCCCGGGUGCAAGUUUGGUUUCAGAACCGCAGAGCCAAAUGGCGAAAGCGAGAGAAAGCCGGAGCGCAGAACCAUCCCGGAGGCCUGCAGUUCCCCAGUCCCCUGGGAGCCGGCCACCCGUUGGGACCUUACCUUGACACCAGUCCCUUCGGACACCACCCGAGCCUCGAGUCCGCCUGGUCAGCCGCCGCUGCUGCUGCCGCCGCCGCCGCCGCCUUCCCCGGCCUCCCACCCCCACCUGGCGCGGCGGCUCUCUCUCCCGGUGGAGCCCCGUUGGGCCUCGGCACCUUCCUGGGAGCGGCGAUGUUCAGGCAUCCUUUCAUCGCCCCGCACUUCGGCAGGUUUUGGACCACAAGCGGAUCAAGGACAGGACAAUCAGAGGAGUUGUUCGAAGUCCCGUCCCACUGCUACAAUGCACCCGAGUCAAGAAAACUGCUGCAAAGUUUUAUUCUUAUUUAGAAAUUCCUUUUUUGGUUCACGCCUUCUCACCUUUGGUGUUUUCUUUCUGCUUUUCAUCACCGCAUUCAUCUCGUUUGGAUGGAGUUCAAGACUCGAUUCUUCCUAUCAUAUUCCUGUCACCAGUCUGAAGCUCAUAUUUAUUCUUCCAACACAUUGGUAACCAUUGUAUUUUACUAGUUCCAUUUUAUAAAGCACUUUGAGACAUUAUCUGCAUGUUAAGUGCUACUUAAGUACAAGUUGUUUUCUCCAAAUCUCAGCUAUCCUUUGAGACGGAUGCAUAGAGUACUCCUCAUGAAAAUUGGUAUGCAUCAUUAUCUGCCCAUUUGUAAUAAACCAAAGGUGAAGUCUAUGAUUAUUUUAUGAAUCCAUCGAACACCCAUAACGCAUGGAUCAUUCAGGGGGACGAGGAAAAAUAAGGGGUGAUUAACUGUUGAUGCCAUAGAAUAGGAGCAGGUUUUUAAAGUAGCAGGAAGGAAAGUUUAGGUAGAGUACAUGAGUGAUUAGACCCUUAAAGACCACUGGUGUGAAGAUCAGGAAGAUAAGCCAGUCUGAAGAAUAAACUACAUGGGGGCACAGGAGGUUUGUGGGCAGUUUAAAGAGUAGAAGAAGUUGUACGUUUGCCAAUUCCUCCAAUCAAUUUAAAAGUUGAGGGUAUGAAAUUAAAUUUUGUUGUGCUAGGAUUUAAAGGUAUUUCUGGAGCUGCUCUAUGAACUGCUUCAGAUCCCAGCAUCUGCUGUCUCUGCUUUAUGGAGUAAAUGUCCGCUGUUUCUAUUACUACAACAACUUGCUUUUCCAUAUGCCCUCAUAAAAUAGAAUACAACGUGAAGGAAACCAAUGGCAACUGAAAGGAGGAGAAACCAGGUGAGCGUUUGAAUCAGUGAGAUACAGGAUAUAGAUCAGUUGGAUAGGUGGAUAAAGGAAUGGCAAAUGAAAUGGAACUCGAGACAAGUGUUAGGUGCUGUGAUUUGGAAUGGCAAACUAGAGCAGAACUUACACAGUCAAUGGUGGAGCCCUGGAAAAUGUUGCUAGACAGGGAGAUCUGGGCGUACAGGCUCGUGGUUGCCUGAAAAUGACGUGUCAGGUGGACAAGGUGGUGAAGAAGGCGUUCUUGCCUUCAUUGGGAAGAGUAUUGAGUUGGGACAUCAUGAUGCAGCUGCAUGAGUCGCUGGUGAGUCCACACUUGGAGUACAGUGUGCAGUUCUGAUCAGUCAGCUAUCGAAAGGAUGUCAUUAAGUUAGAAAAGGUGCAGAACAGAUUCACAGAACAGAUGUAUAAAAUCACGAGAGCAAUAGCUCGGGUAGAUGCACAGAGUCUCUUGCCCAGAUUAGGUGAAUCGAGGACCAGAGGACAUAGGUUUAUGGUGAAGGGGAAAAGAUUCAAUAGGAAUCUGAGGGGCAACCUUUUCACACAAAGGGUGGUGGGUGUAAGGAACAAGCUGCCAGAGGAGGUGGUUGAGGGAGGGACUAUCCCAACAUUUAUGAAACAGAUAGGUACAUGGAUAGGGCGGGUUUGGAGGGAUAUGGACCAAACGCGGGCAGGUGGGACUAGUGUAGCUGGGACACGUUGGUCGGUGUGGGCAAGGUGGGCCGAAGGGGCUGUUUCCACACUGUAUCAAACCAUGGCCAGAAUGUUGCCUAGGCUUGUGGGUUUGAGUUGUAGGAAGGGGCUGGAUUUCAUUGGACCACAGGAGGCUGAGCGGUGUCCUUAUCAAUGUGUACAAGAUCAUGUGGGGCACUAGAUAAUGUGAUCGCCGCUCAUGGUAAAACUAGAGGGUAUAGACUUAAGGUGAGAGGACAGAGAUUUAAGAGAGACCUUGGGCAACAUUUUCACUCAGAAGGUAGCCCAUAUCUGGAAUGAGCUGCCAGAGGAAGCUAUAUAAACAGAUACAAUUCUGGCUUUUUAAAAUAUAUUUUGACAGAUAUAUAGAUAGGAAUGGAUUGGAGAGCUAUGGGCUAAAUGCAGGCAAAUGGUACUAACUCACUUUGUUAACUAGAUUGGCACGGACAAGGUGGGCUGAAGGGCCUGGCAUCAUCAUCAUCGGCGGUCACUCGAAACGAGUAUGACUGUCUUCUUUUGGGAGGACGCUUGCGCGUGACUUUGUUUAACGUGGGGAGACUGGUACACAGACGGCCACCACAUGGUUUUUGACAGAUCUGGGUCAGGAUCCAGUGGCAUGGAGUCCAAGAUGGCCGGGGACCCUUUUUUGCUGCAGCCUUCAUCCGCCUUCCCACCGCAGUGACGAGUCUGACUAAAGUCAGUCAUCAUCCUCCGCCUGUUCCACCGUUGAUGUAAACACACACACAUAUGAACAUGCACACACCCUAACAUACACACACACAGAAAUAUGCACACGCACAGAAAUAUGCACACGCAUGCACGCACGCACACACACACACACAGAAAUAUGCACACGCACAGAAACAUGCGCACACACACACACCAACACACACACACCAACAAAUAUAGGAUCACAAAGCAUUGACGUUCUGCAGUCAACACAAAGAGUUGAUAUUGGAUGCUGCAGGUAGUCCACCAAAGAGCCCACGGUACCACUCAAUACAGAUAGAUAAUGGGAUGUAAAUGUUCCAUUUAGUCAUCUUGCAUGUCCCAAGCAAAGAUUUAGAGUGGUGCCCUGGGGGCCUGUAUACAUACUGCAUAAUUCUACGAUUCUAUAGGGGUGGGGUUUCAUGAAUCUCCUCCGCAUGUGCAAAAAUACAAAAUAAAUGUUAGUUAUAACCAUAACUUUAACUCCAGGCUAUAUCCAUACCUCUCUGAAUAAAAUAUAACCUGUAAUAAAAUUAUAUUCUCUAUGCUUACUAAGUACAGGCUUUAAAUAUACAGUAACCUUGCAUAACCUGCAACAGCAUCUUAUUUCUAAAGCCUCUAAGAACAAGCUGGCUUGAAAUUGUGUAUGACUGUAACCAGGUUCAGAGAGAGGUGCCUCACUUGAUAAGUGCAGUAGUAACUGUUGCUUUACAGAUUACUGCUCAAUAUCCAUCUGAGUCACGGACGUGAAUCUCCAACAAGCAGUAUCACUGCAUGACUUCAUGCUCUGGAACACAUUUGUGCAUUUAUUCAGAUCAAUAUAAAGAUGUUUUUUACCUAUGCAAAUUUGGAAAUGCUCCCUGUACUGCUCUGCGUUGGAAACUUGUUGAUGUAGCAGGUUUGUCUGAAGAAGGAUGGAUGCUGCUUGCCCCGCUGGGUGACUCCAGCACUUUGAGUCUUUCCGAUGAAGCAGGUGAGAAGUAUUUGGGAAUUUUCCCAAUAUAUUAUUGAACAAACUUAAUAUCCCAUUCAACAAAUCAUGAAGAGGAAGUCUGAUGAUGCAAAUUAAUUGAUCAUCAGUUUCAGAUGUGAGAAAAGCUAAGAUAUAUAUACUUUUUGUUAGAAAAUUGUGGAGGUAAACAUCAGAUUGGAUUGUUGAUGUCUUCACAACUGCUUGUGGAUCAUAACAGUGUCCCUCUCUUUGGGAGGGUCUAGAUGUAUGUUGCAUCCUCUAGAUUCUGAUACCUGGAAGUAGCAGCAACUUCGCACAAAAUACUUGAAAUUGGGAACAUACCAAAGCAACAAAAUGCUGUAGUAACUCAACAAGCCAGGCAGCAUCUUUGGAGAACAUGGACAAGCGACAUUUCAAGAUUCAUUCAUCUGAUGAAAGGUCCCAAUCCAAAACAUUGCCCUAACCAUGUUCUCCAGAGAUGCUGCCUGACCCACUGAGUUACUCCAGCACUUUGUGUGUUUUUUUGGCAAACCAGCAUCUACAGUUCCUUGUGUCUCCAAAUACUAAGCAAUUACUACUUUUCCUGUGCGGCAUUCAGAAAUGUAUGUAUUUGCAUCUUUCUUCUCGUGUCUCACUGCAGACGAUACAAAGUCGAAGCGGUGAAGUAUUUUACAGAUGUUAUUUCAUUCAGUGCAUUCUGCCGUGGAUUGGAAAUGUUUUACAGCACCAGUUAAAGAAUGAAAGGUGAAUAGAAUGAUAGGUGAUAAAAGACUUUAAUGUUUUUUCCAACAUAUCUCCCCUCAACCAAUUUCAUUCCACAACAUAUUAUCUGUCUAUCUCGCUGCUGCUUGAGCAAACUUGCUGUACAUUAAUUGGGUGCCAGAUUGCUCAUAAUACAAUUAAGGGCCUGCCCCACGAGCAUGCGACCUGCAUGCGGCAAGCGCAACCAAACCGGAAGCGCGGGCCAUGCAGAGGUCGAGUGCUGCGAGGAACUCCAUACGGCUCUGGCAAUCGAAGUGGGACUGGCCCCGCGAGGCCGUAAGGCUCAAGCGCGACCUAAUGUGGUCGCACAUUAGGUCGCGCUUGCCGCAUGGAGUCGUAUGCUCGUGGGACAAGCCAUUUAGUGACUCCUCACAUUUAGCUUUAAUUUCCAAGACUGGAAUAUAUAUAUAUAUACUGCAUUUCGUUGUCUCUGUACUGUACACUGACAAUGACAAUUAAAGUUGAAUCUGAAUCUGAAUCUGAUAUAAAACCACAGUUUUAUUCUUUCACUUUGAAACUUUAUAUUGACCUUAACCACAUUCAACUGGAACAGAUACAUGCAAAACCUUGCUGUUUGUAGAAGGGUCCCGACCCAAAACGUUACUUAUUCAUUUUCUAGAGUUGCUGCCUGACCGACUGGAUAACAUUUUGUCUAUCUCUGGUAUAAACCAGCAUCUGCAUUUCCGUUUUAUUACAUGCGGAACUUUCUUUGGUUCCCCAAUAGCACAAAUACAAAGCAUCGAUUUUUAAAACUUUUUCCUACUUGUGUGGAAAUUCAAAAACGUAUAUGCACGUGAUGAAAAUUAAUCUUUACAAUGGAUGAAAAUGAACCUUGUUCCAGUAACUGUGGUCAAUCAAGAUUUCUCCUAAGUUUGGGAGUAAGAGUUGCUAUGUCUACUUACUAAAGUGUUGAGUUGUUUUAUACAACAGAUCCAGCAUUACUAAUAAUGACAAUUAUUUAACCAUAAAAUAUUUUUAAGAGCAUAAAUGUCUUCUUUUUGAAUCUUGAACGUCGGAGCACAACUGACUGUUUAAAAUCAAUUCAUGAUUGAGGGAUUAAAUUGUAUUAAUUCUUAUUGUACAAAAUGCUUAAGAAAUUAAA
Leucoraja erinaceus (little skate) is the source of this 6653-nucleotide RNA transcript. It is a transcript of the gene named aristaless related homeobox a, with no coding region annotated. The transcript has 6 exons. NCBI's taxonomy places the organism in Eukaryota, Metazoa, Chordata, Chondrichthyes, Rajiformes, Rajidae. The record is from RefSeq and is a predicted model, not a curated record.